GGUUCGAGGCAACUAACCCAUCAAGUCUUAUCUGAAACCUUUUCUUCCAUUCUAUCUUAUCCCUUCUCAAAAAUUAUUCCCAAACUACUAAUUCCUCUAUAUCUCUUCAAUGAAUCACUUUCCAUUAUUCUCUCCUCUCUCUCUGAAAGAUAAACUAGAUUUUCACCAUCUAUAGACACCAAAUUUUGUCACAUUUUUUUCUAAUAUUUGACAUUUGCUUGAAUUUUGUCUAUUUAGAGGGUCAUUUAUUUUUAUGCAUUUAUUUGCCCAUUUUUCUUGUUUUGUAGAUUUUCUUUUGUUAUAAAAAAAAGAGGAGAGGAGAAGAAAAGAUUUUACAUGCUCUAAUCAUUUUUCCUAUCAAAAUCACUAUUAACUCAUUUUUACACUCAAUUCCCAUUUAUCUUUCUAUUUAUUUUGGUAAAAAUCCAUCAUGUUAUUCCAUGGAUCUUUCUUGUCAUUUGGUAAAGAAGUCCAUCAUUUUGACCAACCUAAUUCCCUAACUUCUCCCUGACACUCUCUCGGUUCACUUUGCACACACAAGCACACCAAGCACAAAAAACUCCCUCAAUCUCACAUUCCAAUUUUCCCAAAAGUCUCCAACUCACACUCGGCCCCUCUCAAUUUUUCCACACUCACACACAACAAAACUCUCUCGGCUCUCUCUUUCUUCCCUCUCUCAAUUUCACCAUAAUAACAACACACCCACACACAAAUCAAACACAAAGAGAGCAAACGAAACAUGGUCAAGGCUUCAAAUUGCAUCAAAAACUUCAACCAAGGAAUUGCCACUACACUGAGGUAAUUUUCUAGUUUUGUUUAGCACAUUAUAUCCAUGUUUCAGUGUUUAAUCUUCUCUUGCUUUCGAUUUUUCUUUUGUUGUUGGGUUGCUAAACUUUUGAGAUAGGUUAUGAACAAAAUUAUAAGGAAAAGAAUAGGAUUUUGGUAUGCAUGCUUCGUAUUCGAAAAAAUGUCCAAGUGAAAUCGAAUUAGAAGAUUAAUUUUGGUGUCUAUAUUUUGCUAAAAUAAAUGGGCAUAGCUAGUAUAGGGUUUGGAAAGGUUGCUUAAUUAAAUUCUUCCGAAUUUUUUAGUUUAAAAGGCAAUGAAAAUGCAUUUUUUUGUAGGGUUGUUUGUCUUUAAUUUAUCCUUUUGUUGUUGUUUUUUUUUGACAAACUAAGAUCAUAGUUGUAUUGUAGAAGUUAUAAGGAGUGUUAUAGUAUAAGUUUUAUGAUUUUGGUGAAGUUUGAGUGUUUUGAAGAAAAAAAAGGCUAUUUUUUGGCCAUUUCGCCACUUUUGGUUCAUUUUUUGUAAAAACUAAACCCAAAAAUAGAUUUUAUGUGAAAAAUCGAGUUGAGGUGUAUUUUAGUGAUUUUUCGUGACCGGAGAGGUUGCCGGCGACCACGUUUCACCGGAAGAAGAAGAAGAAAAAGGGGGAAGAAGAAAAGAAAAGAAAAAAAAAAGAAGAAAGGAAAAGGAAAGAAAAUAAAGAGAAUAAAAAUUGGACUAGUUUUUUUUUUUAUCUGGCGGGCUUGUUUCUUUAAUUUCAGUUGGGCUAGAGGUUUUUUUUGGCGCACUUUCGUUUGGACUUUGGGGCAAUUUUCCACUUGGACUUGUUUUUAUUUUCAUGAAAACAGCCCGCAUUUUUUCUUUGGAGCAGAGCAGUCCAGCCCAACCAAAAUAAAGGGCACAAUUUCGUUUAGUAGAAAAUGAAUUUUGCACUUUAGCUCUUGAUCUUUGGAGUAGUUUUACUGUGGCUCAGAAAAUUUUAGAUUUCUUUCAAUUAGCGUCCUUAAUUUAAUUAUAAUUUGGUCCCUAAAUUUAAUUUUGACCUCUAAACUCUUAAAAAUUUAUUUUUGCCUCCAAAAUUUUCUAAUUUUUGCAAUUUAGUCCCUCUCUGACUUGUUGACACUCUCUAUUAUGAUUGUUUCUUUUCUUUAAUAGGUAAUUAUAUUACUAUUAAAUGUAUUCAACUUGUAAUUUUUUAGAUAUCUUUAAGUUUCUUUAUGUCUGACAUAUUAUAAUAAAUUUAGUACUUUUAUUAUUAUUAUUUUCAAUUAAAUUGGUGCCAUGAUUCUUUUGUUUAUUUUGAUUAUAACUAGGGAAAUUUGACUCCAUUUAGUCAAUACUUCAAAAGGGAGGUACCCCUAUUAUUAUUUCAAUGUCAAUUAUGUGCUCUUUUGUGCCCUACGUGCUUCUAUGUGUUUAUAUAUUUU
Molecule: long non-coding RNA, 2210 nt
Filed under: Coffea arabica (coffee)
Lineage: Eukaryota; Viridiplantae; Streptophyta; Magnoliopsida; Gentianales; Rubiaceae
Description: long non-coding RNA (CARA_LNC008239)
Source: RNAcentral